Molecule: transfer RNA, 87 nt
Filed under: Acidobacteriota bacterium
Lineage: Bacteria; Pseudomonadati; Acidobacteriota
Description: tRNA-Leu
Rfam family: tRNA
About the family: Transfer RNA (tRNA) molecules are approximately 80 nucleotides in length.
Source: RNAcentral
GCCCGAAUGGCGGAAUUGGAAGACGCGCCAGGUUCAGGACCUGGUUCUCGCAAGGGAGUGGAGGUUCGAGUCCUCUUUCGGGCACCA